This 238-nucleotide unclassified non-coding RNA is filed under the name Ascomycota sp. Its description in RNAcentral is "partial contains small subunit ribosomal RNA, internal transcribed spacer 1, and 5.8S ribosomal RNA". The stretch from base 1 to 47 matches the Rfam family "Eukaryotic small subunit ribosomal RNA", at positions 1785 to 1831 of the family's 1831-position model. The record is from RNAcentral. Lineage: Eukaryota; Fungi; Ascomycota.
AAAGUCGUAACAAGGUCUCCGUUGGUGAACCAGCGGAGGGAUCAUUACAGAGUACCUGCUCUAUAAAACCCACUGUGAACCUACCUUUUUUGUUGCCUCGGCGGGCGGCUCCAGGGCGGAGCCAGUGCCUCUUUGCUGAGGUGCCCGCCGAAGGCCCACCAAUACUCUGCUGUCAUUAGCAUAUCUGGGUCAAAACACAAAUACGUUAAAACUUUCAACAACGGAUCUCUUGGUUCUG